AGUGUUUGAAAUCAUCGCGGUAGAAUGUUUAUCGUGCCGAUUAAUAUUGCAUCGCGUGUAACAUCAUCAAAUAUAAAAUGGAAUUAUUAUUCUGUUUAUCUAGUUCAAGUUCUCACGCUUGAAAACACGUCCACCAGUACAAUAUAAUUCCUAAACAAACAGUUUCCCAAACAAUACGUUUUCAAUCUUUAUUAUCGUAAACUCGCGUACUAUUCCUAUCUGCGGCAGUUAAGUCUCUGACCAAUUUUUUUCAAAAAAAAAAAAAAAAAAAAAAAAAGUUUUUCGUAUACACAUAUGCGUGUAUAUAGCAAUAUCCUGCGUUCUCCGGAAUUUUCAUUUCCCAAUUUAUGAGGAAAAUCGUGAGAUCGAGCUAAAAAGUCACAUUCCAUGAUGGAUAUCGAUACAUUCAAUCAUUAUAUUAUUGUUAUUCUACUUUUUUCAAAAUUAUUGUAUAAGAUUAGUGUUCGAUGUCGCGAUACGUCGUCAGAAUUUUGUUAAAAUUUUUAUUCAAGAAGCAAUACGCGAAUAUAAGUAUACGAAAAAAAUCUAAAACGAAGGGAUCCUAAUUUGCGAUUAGAUUUGCAAUUAGAUCUAAACGAAUUUUCGUUUUUCUUUUUUUUUAUCGUGUCCCUUUGAAAACGCGGAACGACGAAAGUGUUUCUUUUCUUCCGUUUCGUUCGAUCUCUCAUUGAAAUUCCGGUGCGGAAGGAUCGUACGCGAAUCGAAAAAUCAUUUGGAACGUUCGACGACGUAGGAUAUCGUUUUCUAGGACGUUUUACAAUAGCUAUGUAUAGAACUCUACUGUAUUUCUAUAUUUCCGAACACGGACGGAAUUCUCUUAAAAACUGUUUCGUGCAUGGUGAAAAUAUUUCGCGCAAUGGAUGUAGAAAUGGGUGCGAAUCAUGUGUUGCAAAGGGCGGGAUUCGAUGACUCGAGAUGAUAUGGAAGCGAGGAGAAUAAAAAAGAAAGAGUGUAUUUCCGAGAUAAAAUUGAAUUCCAUGGAUAAAUUUGAUAUUCAUGAUCUCUUAAGCUUCGACCUUUAUUUUACUAUUGUUAUAAAUCAGUUAAAAUUCGAAACAACGAGUUGAUUUUUGAAAGAAGAAAUAUUAUAGGUAAAUUUACAAUAUCUAUAGUUCUAUUAUAGUUUACAUUUUUCUAUCUGUAUUAUUAUAGAUCAAUUAGAUAUUUUAAAAAUAAGUAGAAUUGGAUUUUAAGGAAAGCUUAUAUAGUAAAAAUUGAUUUAGAACAUCAAUGCAUGAAUUCAAAAAAAUUUCUAAUAUAUGUUAAAAAUAAAUAAUUUAUUAAUAAGAAAUCAAAGAUACCUCAAAUAAAUGAUACGUUCGGAUCUCAUUUCUGGGAUAGACUCGUUUAAGUCAGAAAUAGAGGGUUCGAGGUACGAUUUAUAUUUUCUAAUCUGCCACGCCGGAACCUUACAACUAUCUCGUUCAUGUGAAUUACAACGCACGAUAGUAUUUCACGCGGUGGCUCGCGUGACCGGAAUUGGGGAUUACGCGGGAUUAAAUGGUGUUCCAGGCACUCGAUGAUUGUUUGCAUUGCGUCCCUCGCGAGAUCCCAGCUUCCGGAAUUGUUUAUUUCUUCCUGUAAUCGAUUUCAUCCAUUCAGGUACCCAUCCCCCAUCGAUUUUGGAUUUUUCAAAUCCUGUAUGUAGGGUAUGUAAAUCCGGUAUGUUUCGAUAGGCUUAGUUGGAUUUAUCGUAUACUGAUAAUUUGUUAUCCCAGUAUUUCAAAGAGAAUAAUAAGGAAAGAGAUUCGAACGAAUGUGAUUAUGAAAAUUUUGAAAAUUAAUGCAUUGGCGAGAAAUCGAAAGUAACGAAUUGAAAUAAUUUUUUUAUUUCAAAAUUAAAUUAUUUCGGUUGCUUACAAAUGAUUCUUUAAUCGCAUCUGUGAUAUAUAUUGCUUUACAAAAUUUCAAUUUUAAAGAAUGUUUAUGUUUCAGAGAAAAUUUAAUAUCGUCUUAAAGUUUCAAUACCUUUUAACAAUUUGAAUGCAAUUUCCUUUAAGAUCAAAUGUAUCCUGUAAUAUAAUUUCAUAUAAUUUUUAAUCAUAUUUCCAAAGUAUAGAUAUAUUUUCAAAGGAUAUAUUUUCCUUUUAAUGAUGAGUGCAAUAAACUAUAACAACGUAAGGCGAAUUACUGUUAGACGCGUUGGAAAUUUAAUGUAAUAGUACUUUGAGAUUGGAGGAAAUUGCUUUUAUAAAUGAUAUUUACAUGAGAAAGGAUACGACUUUCUUAAAGAACGGGUAUAGAAUUGUAAUAUAUGACUGAAAUUCGAAGAAAUUAAUUGUUAUAUUAUGCAGAUAGGAAAUAGAGAUUAAAGAUUAUUAAAUUAUAGUGUGACAUGUAAAUGACUUUGAUCAAGCGGAUUUUUCUGGUUUAACGUGAGAUUAAUCGUUGCACGUGUCGUAAGUUGUAUAAUUUUUAAACAAUUUUUCGAGGAAAUUUAUGCACGAUAAUAAAUAUAUUAGAUUUUAUUCGAUGCAAAAUAUUCCUUCAAUUUCCAUUUUAAAAAAAAAAUUUAUAGUACUUUGUACGAUGGUUGCAUGCUACCGAAUGUUUAAUCGUUAUUAACUAUCGAUAAAAAAUUUCUUAUCCUUGCAGGGUAAUAAUUACCCAAGCUUAAUUCAAAUCUAAUGUUAACCAACAAAGUAGCAAUCGUGCGUAGUGCAACUAUUACUAUUACCUCGCAAACUCGAAGUUAUGAUAUAAACCAAUAAUUACUAUAAAAUCCAAUCUAGCAUGCAUGCAAUGCAUCGUUCAUUAUUCUAAUAUAUAUUCUAACGGUGAGCAAUAUCUAACGUAGGUGCAAAAUUUCACCGUGCUAAGUUUCAAAGCGUUGGAUGAUUUAUGGUUACGAGAAUUUUACUAAAAUGCACUUGUAGAACGUUACUUGUCUCGUUAAUAAUUUUUUUGACACGGCAUAAACGACCCUUAUCUUAACUUCACAAUAUAACGAGAUCCAUCUUCGAAGAGUAUCUGAUCCUAUAAUUUAAAAAUGCUAUGAAAAGGAAUUAGAAUUAUCAAAGUUAAUUUUAACCAUAAACCAUUUUCAUUAGCACCGUAAGUAAAGUUCUUGGAAAAAUUUCCAAGCGAAGGUUUCAUCCAUUGAAUUCCAAAAUUCAAAAGAAAAGAAAUUCUCAUAUAUAUCACAUCGAUAAAACGAACACGUAUUUCUUUUCAGAACCGUGCCAUAACCUACGAUUCAAAAUUCCCGCCAUACAUUCGACUUAAUCGCGUCCAACAAACGAAUUAAUCCCUUCCGCUACUCUUUACGACUCGAUGCUUCUAAAUUACAAGAAUCUCAGGAUUAAACGGUGCAACUUACACGGCACGGUUAAUUAAACGACGCGUUUUAUCGUCCGAAUAGAAUCGUCUCCCUGCCGCGUCUCGGACCAAUCCUCCCAUUCUUAUGCAAAACUCGCGCGAUCGAGCCGAUCGAUCGAUACGAUCGUUAACGAAAUAUCGGUACGAAACCUCAAAAAAAAAAAGGCUUGGUCUGUAAUUCAUAAAGGAGCCGAAACUUGGCCCGGUUAAUUCAGAAAUUACCCUGCCUCGUGUAAUUACAAACUGAGUGUCCAGUGUAUCCGGCUUUAUUAUCCUAAUUUACGCGCGACUGGCGGAUCCUUAUUGCGCAAUUAGGCAACGUGAUACCAGGAUGAAUUUACGAGGGAAGUGGAGGGAAAGAGAUGAUUGAAUGGCGGUAAUUGAUAUAGAGUGAUGAAGGGUGGAGAAUUUCGUUGGAAUUUUUAUUAUUUUUCCUUCUCUGUGAUUUCUUCCCUCGUGAUCUUAUUUUUAUUACUUUUCUGUACUUUUGCGAGGAAUAAGAUCCUUUUCAGUAAUGAAUAUACGUUUGACGUUUCACUUUUUUUAAGAAUUAAAUAUUGUAAAUUUCUAGGUUUAAAAAUUACCACGUAAUCUUCGUGGUAAGUAUACGAGGUAUGCAAAAUAUUUUACAUUGAAACUUUUACUUAUCGUAGUUUAUUUGCAUGCAGUCAUUAGUUCGUGUUUAGAAUUUUUUAUAGCCUUUAUACAUAAUUUUCAACGAUUUCAGGUUCUUGGAAAUGAUCAAAACAUCGUUUACCAGAACGAUUUAAUGACUUGCCGGAGGGUUAAUGAUAUAACCAUAAUAAGGAACGAUAAUAAGCGUCGAAUCCAAGCAGGAAGUUGCUCGGUGUAUUAACUACUAAGGAUAAGCUUUAACUCCUCGUGUAUUCUCGCCCACUUCUCUCGGAGUUAUUCGAUAAUUUUUAAAACAUUAUCCCACGAUUUCUCGAGUAAACCGAUAAAAUUCGCCUUCGAAAUAUCCACGUAUUGAAUCAAUCUCUCCUCCAUCGCGACAGGCCUCGAACCGGCUUUCCCUCGAAUCCAACUGGCCGGUGCAAAGGGAACAAGAGAAAAUUUGCAAGUAUCGGUGCUCACCAUCGAAUAUCCAGCGGCCUAUCUCAAGGAGAAUCGCUCAUAAAUAUUUAUCCGGGCGGUAUUAUCGCGAAUACAGGCCUGGCCUCUCCUCCAGGCCUGUCCAAGCGUUCAAAUCUCCGGAAGUCGGGCAUCGAUCCGGCCUUGAUGCACUCGCGGAUCGGUUGAUCCGGUCGGCUUAGCAGUGUGCUUGUUCAGUUUUCACGAGACUCAAAGCGAGAGGAAUCGGGACUUCGCGUUAAUCCUCUCCCUCUCCCAGUCAACUCUGUAUAAUCUUAACUAACGAGAAAGCGCCGGGGUUGGAGUAACACGCCGGCGAACCUGUGAAGCCCUGCUCUGUCAAGGGAUCGCCACGUUUCCACGACUCCUUUUUACGAAGCCACGCGGAAGGAUUAACGUCAGGGUGAUUUUCAACGUGGUUGUUGCUCUAAUGCCGGGACGAGACAGACGUGCGUUCGUCCUGCUUUUUUCUUGGUACAUUUUUAUGAUUGAGGAAUCGAGGAAGAUUGAUUUUUAAUUAUUAAUUAAUGAUUAUAUAAUUAUAAAGAUAUUAUUAAGUUUCUGUGUGAAUAGCGAUUAAUAAUAAUUUGGUAAAGUAGUAAUAUAUUUCAAGUAAUCUAGUAAUGAUUUAGUAAUUCCUGUCGUUUCAUUUUCAGAUUCAUUUUAUUUGGAAGGGGAAUAGAAAAUUUGGAAAGAAUAAUUAACUUAGAAUAAACAACUAUCAUUUAUCUGAAUUGAAAUCAUAUUUCUUUUCAUAAAUCCACGUAAUAUCUUCCAGAAAAUGAAAAAUUGUUUCCUCCCUAUGGAUAAAGAGCAAUCCGAUUAUUGUAAACCAACUUUCCAAUGCUCAAUUAAUUUAUACGAUACUUAAUCAGAAAACCAUUGCUUAAUUUCGAAUUAAUUUUAAACAAUUUUUGAGCGAAAGAAUAAAAUAUCCUAUGAUCGAGACAACAAAGAAAAUGAUCAUGAAAUUAUGGAAAUUAGGAAGGAAGCGAAGAAUAAACAAACCAAAGGAACUAUAUUUAAUUAAAUAUUCAGGAAAGGAAGGAAACUCAAGAAAAAUGAAAAUGGCAGAUCUGUCUGAGAAAACUUCUGUUAGUCUUUUGAAAUCAUUCUUCAAGUUUCAUAACGAAAAAAUCUUCCUGAUAAAAAUUUAUUCGAUGACCCCUCUCUCACAAUAGGGGGUGGUUCACUUAGUGCGUGAGACGUGAAGAAUUUAUCCAGGGUGAUUCUGUUCGCGCCAAUGCAUCAUCAAUCACUGCUCGAUUCCGGCUUCUGUCUUCGAUUGGACGCCAUUUGUGUAUCCAGUGAAUCGGUUUUUGCGACCCGGAAAUCAAUAACACCCGCGAACAAUACUUCAGAACGCUUACGGUUUUGCGAAUCAUGCUGAAAUAUCAUUCUGAUGGAUUUCACGAUUCUUUUCCUUCAUCAGCGACGUGUAUUUGUAUUGUUGCCGAGGAAUAACUUUUUGUUGUUGUACAAAUGAUAACGAAACUUGACCCAAAAAUCCACCCACCAGACCUAUAUUUGAACUUCUCUAUAAUCGCUUUUAUGGAAUCUCGGCACAGACGUCGAGUGUUCCUCCGACUGCGAAACCUUGGAGGGUCGACGGAUCGGUCGUGGUGGAAAAAAAAAAAAAAAUGCCAGCCCCAUCGACGUUCGCAGCGUUCCAUCGCGGAAAGUAGAAUUAAUACGUGGCUCUCGUCCGUGAAAAAGUCAGCUUCAUACUCCUGAGAGGCUUUUUGCCGGGCGUGGAACAAAGAGGGAUCCGGGGAAAAGUUGGCAAAAAGAGUCGCGCCAGGGUUUCGCCGAACAGGGGGAAGAGAGAUAAAGAGGUGGUAAAAAGGGAUGGAGAAGCAUCUUCUGGGGCGCAUCAAUCGCGAGGAACGCGAGAAUUAUCCCGAGUGAAACCGCGAAAACUAAAUCCUGGCCCGGGAUGAGGCGAAAUUAAUGCUCGCGGCUUGUCACGACAAGGAAGAAAGAGAGAAAGAGAAAGGAAAAAAAAAGAGUCCUAUAAUCUUGAAAGGUUUCUUACGAGGUCUCAUGAGGAUGGAAAUGGACAGCCGAGUCGGAUGAAAGGAGUCAAUGGAUCCUCCCUUGUGUGUCACAUUUGCGAAAAACAUCAAUUCUUUGGGAAUUCUAGGCUGUCAUUUAAUGAGAUUUCGCUGUCAGAUGGCAUCUCAAAUAUUUGUACACAAUAUAAUUUGAGAAGAAACACGAGAAGAUCCUGCUUAAAAAUUUCUUAUCUUUUUUUGGUGAUGUAUGUAUUAAUAUUUAACGUGUUUCUGUAUAGAGAAAUAAAUGAAAGAUGGAGACAAUGAUGAAU
This is a long non-coding RNA of Apis cerana (Asiatic honeybee), 6757 nucleotides long. RefSeq lists it as uncharacterized. Lineage: Eukaryota; Metazoa; Arthropoda; Insecta; Hymenoptera; Apidae. The record is from RefSeq and is a predicted model, not a curated record.